This is a non-coding RNA of Zootermopsis nevadensis, 375 nucleotides long. Lineage: Eukaryota; Metazoa; Arthropoda; Insecta; Blattodea; Termopsidae. The record is from RefSeq and is a predicted model, not a curated record.
AUGAAUGAUGUAUUUGCAUGGCAGCCUGCCAGAGGGAACCCAGCUGUCAUAAACCUGAACAUGGAACUACAAUCCAUGAUGAGACGCUUUUAAAUAAGUAUUACUUCCUGACAAGGAUCUGUGCUCUGGCAAUGCAGAUAAUUUAUGCAGGAAGCAAUAACUACUGUAAUGAAUGAGUCCUCCGAAUGAACAGGACUUAUUACAUGAUGGUGAGCAUCCGUAUUCCUGUGAAAUGUGUCAUAAAUCAUUCACUCUUCAAACUACACUGAAGAUUCAUCAACGCAUACACAAUGGGGACUGUCCAUAUUCCUGUGAUGUGUGUAACAAAUCAUUCAUUCAACAGAGUCAUCUGAAGGCACAUCAGCGUGUGCACAG